UACAGAGGGGGCAAGCGUUGUUCGGAUUCACUGGGCGUAAAGGGUGCGCAGGUGGCGCUUCAAGUUUGAUGUGAAAGCUUCGGGCUUAACCCGGAAAUGGCAUUGAAUACUGGAGUGCUGGAGGUUUGGAGGGGGGACUGGAAUUCUCGGUGUAGCAGUGAAAUGCGUAGAUAUCGAGAGGAACACCAGUGGCGAAGGCGAGUCCCUGGACAACACCUGACACUGAGGCACGAAAGCUAGGGGAGCAAACAGG
This 253-nucleotide ribosomal RNA is filed under the name uncultured bacterium. RNAcentral describes it as "partial 16S ribosomal RNA". It matches the Rfam family "Bacterial small subunit ribosomal RNA", at positions 524 to 776 of the family's 1533-position model. The record is from RNAcentral.